This 253-nucleotide long non-coding RNA is filed under the name Lupinus angustifolius (narrow-leaved blue lupine). Its description in RNAcentral is "long non-coding RNA (LANG_LNC002982)". The record is from RNAcentral. Lineage: Eukaryota; Viridiplantae; Streptophyta; Magnoliopsida; Fabales; Fabaceae.
GAACCAGAAUUAUAUAAAAACUCACCCGAAAAUCCAGCAGAUGCACCGAGAGAAAGAGAGGUAAAAGAAAUAACAAAAGGGAAAGGGGUAAGACUACAACACGAGAAUUAUCCAACCGCCAACAACGACCCAAGACUUCAACACACCAAACAGCAACGAAGAGGAACUGAACAAAAGUAAAGACACAGAAACGAUGAAAGCACUUGCAGUGUAGAGAGCAAAAGAAGCUCAAAACACACACGAAGAGGUUGCU